UGUAUACCACCCUUAAAACGAUAACUGCAAAUGCAGAAUCAGAUGAUAUUGAUAUUGUAUCUAUUAUGAAUAGAGAUAAUGCCCUUUUGUGAAUUGUAAAUAAAUAAUGCUGUGAGCAAAGGCUCAGGGGAUUACUGCGCUAACAGCUGAACAGCAACAACAUAUUGACUUUUUACUCUUUCAAGAAAACAUAGUUUAAAUAUCUAAAAAUUGUUAGAAUAUUAUUACGCUGAUAUAAAAGUGGCGACGAGGUGAAAAUUCAGUGUACCAAAGUUAAUAAGAUAAAGUGCGGGAGGCAACCUAAUAGUUGAUUUCAGUGAAUCCGCAUCAAAGAAGUGUAGUCCAUGUUGGAAAUAAGGUGAUGCGAAGUGCAUGAACAAGGCAGCUAUCUGGCUUAUUACGAUCAACAGUGUAUAACAAUAGUAGCUACACGGUAGUCGGCGCCGAAUGGUGGCAUUUCGUCGGUGGUGCUAUUAGCCAGUGUAUGCUGAUUGCAUCGAUUAGGCAUUUUUUAAGUGAUCGAGGUGGAAAUCCAUCAACCCAAACUGUGCGCGGUAGAUGUUCAACGGGGAUAAACCUGAUUGCACGUGUAUGUCAAUAAAAAUUGGAUUGACAUAGCCAAGCUGAGUGAAAAAAAUUGUUUACCGAGAUUGUUAUCAUCAUCAUCGUCUAACAAAAGAGUCAACGAUACGACGAUACUGCCAAAGUGCCAAAGAUAUAAAAAGAGGAACAUUAACCAAAGGCGCGAAAUUGCACCAUCCCAGGUGACGAAAUUGUCCGAUUUGUACUUGGUAUAUUUACGGGCUAUUCGGCAGCGGUGCUGAGGCAUACAAAGGGCCGCGAUUGCAUGAUUUGCGCGACACUCAUCGAACAAACACAAUGGAAAGAUGCGAAUGUGAAGCUCGGAUACUGGCAGUAAAAGCAAUUAGCGAAUUUGCGACUGUCAACAGCAGCGACUUGGCGAUAAAAAUGUCGGUUCUGAAUCACAAUUGGAAAAGACAACUGUCAGAAGAAGAUGAAUUAAUUUUGAAGAAUAGUGAGCUUGUUUUAGAAAUUAAUUGCAAUUCAAGCAAAUCGGAAAAUUGUAGAAUUUAAUGUGUGAUAUCGAAAUUACAUUUUGUGAUAUUUAGUUUAUUAAUUCUAUGCAAUUCAGUAUAAGAAAUUAAUUCACGUACGAGUGUUGAUCAUUAUAAUUUAAAACUUUACGAAUAAGAGUUCCUAAAGGGGGAAGAACUGUGGUGUAUACCACCCUUAAAACGAUAACUGCAAAUGCAGAAUCAGAUGAUAUUGAUAUUGUAUCUAUUAUGAAUAGAGAUAAUGCCCUUUUGUGAAUUGUAAAUAAAUAAUGCUGUGAGCAAAGGCUCAGGGGAUUACUGCGCUAACAGCUGAACAGCAACAACAUA
Aedes albopictus (Asian tiger mosquito) is the source of this 1403-nucleotide long non-coding RNA. RefSeq lists it as uncharacterized. Lineage: Eukaryota; Metazoa; Arthropoda; Insecta; Diptera; Culicidae. The transcript is spliced from 2 exons. The record is from RefSeq and is a predicted model, not a curated record.